RNAcentral lists this ribosomal RNA (1503 nucleotides) under uncultured prokaryote. Its description in RNAcentral is "partial 16S ribosomal RNA". It matches the Rfam family "Bacterial small subunit ribosomal RNA". The record is from RNAcentral.
AGAGUUUGAUCCUGGCUCAGAACGAACGCUGGCGGCAUGCCUAACACAUGCAAGUCGAACGGUAACAGGUCCUUCGGGAUGCUGAGGAGUGGCGCACGGGUGAGGAAGCACGGGUGAGUAACGCGUGGAUACAUGCCUCGAUGUGGGGGACAACAGUUGGAAACGACUGCUAAUACCGCAUAAUCCCUGAGGGGGAAAGGCUUCGGCCGCAUUGAGAGUGGUCCGCGUCGGAUUAGCUAGUUGGUGGGGUAAUGGCCCACCAAGGCGACGAUCCGUAGCUGGUCUGAGAAGGUGACCAGCCACACUGGGACUGAGACACGGCCCAGACUCCUACGGGAGGCAGCAGUGGGGAAUAUUGCGCAAUGGGCGAAAGCCUGACGCAGCAACGCCGCGUGUGUGAAGAAGGCCCUCGGGUCGUAAAGCACUGUCGUGGGGAACGAGCCCUCUAUCGUUAAUAUCGGUAGAGCCGACGGUACCCCACAAGAAAGCACCGGCUAACUCCGUGCCAGCAGCCGCGGUAAUACGGAGGGUGCAAGCGUUGUUCGGAAUUAUUGGGCGUAAAGCGCGCGUAGGCGGGCCAUUAAGUCUGAUGUGAAAUCCCUGGGCUCAACCCAGGACGUGCAUUGGAUACUGGUGGCCUUGAAUCCUGGAGAGGGUGGCGGAAUUCCCAGUGUAGAGGUGAAAUUCGUAGAUAUUGGGAGGAACACCAGCGGCGAAGGCGGCCACCUGGACAGUGAUUGACGCUGAGGUGCGAAAGCAUGGGUAGCAAACAGGAUUAGAUACCCUGGUAGUCCAUGCCGUAAACGAUGGGUACUAGUUGGCGCGGGUAUUAACCCCUGCGCUGGCGAAGCUAACGCAUUAAGUACCCCGCCUGGGGAGUACGGCCGCAAGGCUAAAACUCAAAGGAAUUGACGGGGGCCCGCACAAGCGGUGGAGCAUGCGGAUUAAUUCGACGCAACGCGAAGAACCUUACCAGGCCUUGACAUCCCAAGAAAGCUCCCGAAAAGGAGCCGUGCCCUUCGGGGAACUUGGUGACAGGUGCUGUAUGGCUGUCGUCAGCUCGUGUUGUGAGAUGUUGGGUUAAGUCUCGUAACGAGCGCAACCCCUGCCUCUAGUUGCCAGCAUUUAGUUGGGCACUUUAGAGGGACUGCCGGUGUCAAGCCGGAGGAAGGUGGGGACGACGUCAAGUCAUCAUGGCCCUUACGGCCAGGGCUACACACGUGCUACAAUGGCAAGUACAAAGGGUUGCGAAGCCGCGAGGUGGAGCCAAUCCCAAAAAGCUUGUCUCAGUUCGGAUUGGAGUCUGCAACUCGACUCCAUGAAGUCGGAAUCGCUAGUAAUCGUGGAUCAGCAUGCCACGGUGAAUACGUUCCCGGGCCUUGUACACACCGCCCGUCACACCAUGGGAGUUGCUUGGGCCAGAAGUCGUUUGGCUAACCUUCGGGAGGCCGGCGCCCAAGGUCUGAUGAGCGACUGGGGUGAAGUCGUAACAAGGUAACCGUA